UUCGCAAUGCCCGAAAGGGUGACGAAGCGACGCCGCGUGGGUGAGGAAGGCCCUCGGGUUGUAAAGCCCUGUCAGGAGUUAAGAAAUGUAAGUGCGCUAAUAUCGCAUUUAUUUGACGAAGGCUCCAAAGGAAGUCACGGCUAACUCUGUGCCAGCAGCCGCGGUAAUACAGAGGUGGCAAGCGUUGUUCGGAAUUAUUGGGCGUAAAGAGCACAUAGGUGGGUUUGUAAGUCAGAUGUGAAAGCCUUCUGUUCAACGGAAGAAUUGCAUCUGAAACUGCGAGUCUUGAGUGUAGGAGGGGAGAAUGGAACUUCUGGUGGAGCGGUGAAAUGCGUAGAUAUCAGAAGGAACGCCGGCGGCGAAAGCGAUUCUCUGGCCUAUUACUGACACUCAGUGUGCGAAAGCUAGGGGAGCAAACGGGAUUAGAUACCCCGGUAGUCCUAGCCGUAAACGAUGGGCACUAAGUAGAGGGGUUUUA
This 478-nucleotide ribosomal RNA is filed under the name uncultured bacterium. RNAcentral's name for it is "bacterial SSU rRNA". It matches the Rfam family "Bacterial small subunit ribosomal RNA", at positions 365 to 833 of the family's 1533-position model. The record is from RNAcentral.